This 2981-nucleotide ribosomal RNA is filed under the name Candidatus Methylacidithermus pantelleriae. Its description in RNAcentral is "Methylacidiphilaceae bacterium PQ17 ribosomal RNA 23s ribosomal RNA". It matches the Rfam family "Bacterial large subunit ribosomal RNA". Lineage: Bacteria; Pseudomonadati; Verrucomicrobiota; Methylacidiphilae; Methylacidiphilales; Methylacidiphilaceae. The record is from RNAcentral.
UCAAGCUAGAAAGGGCGCACGGUGGAUGCCUUGGCGCCAGGAGCCGAUGAAGGACGGGGCCAGCACCGAUAUGCCUCGGGGAGCCGCAAGCAGGCGUCGAUCCGGGGAUGUCCGAAUGGGGAAACCCGGCCGGGGUAAUGUCCGGCCAUCCGCCGCUGAAUUCAUAGGCGGCGAGAAGGGCACCGUGGGAACUGAAACAUCUCAGUACCGCGAGGAAGAGAAAUCAACGGAGAUUCCCUCAGUAGCGGCGAGCGAACGGGGAGGAGCCCAAACCGCAGAUGUGUAAGCCUGCCGGCGUUGCAUCUGCGGGGUUGCAGGACCACCGGGAGGUGCGGCAGAGCCUCCACGGCAGCGCAGCGCAUAGGCGAAGACGCCUGGAACGGCGCACCAGAGACGGUGACAGUCCGGUAGCCGAAAUGUGCCAGCGGGCCGGGUGGGAUCCUAAGUACCACGGGACACGGGGAAUCCCGUGGGAAGCCGGGGGGACCACCCUCCAAGGCUAAAUACUUCCUGGCGACCGAUAGUGAACCAGUACCGUGAGGGAAAGGUGAAAAGCACCCCGGGAGGGGAGUGAAACAGCACCUGAAACCGUGUGCCUACAAACGGCAGGAGGACGAUGGCCGCAAGGCCCGUCUGGCUGCGUACUUUUUGUAGAACGAACCGGCGAGUUGCUCUGGCAAGCGAGGUUAAGCGCCGCAGGCGCGGAGCCGUAGCGAAAGCGAGUCUGAAGAGGGCGAGAGUUUGCCGGAGCAGGCCCGAAACCGGGUGAUCUAUCCAUGGCCAGGGUGAAACGGAGGUAACACUCCGCGGAGGCCCGAACCAGUGGUUGUUGAAAAAACCUUGGAUGAGCUGUGGAUAGGGGUGAAAUGCCAAUCGAACCCGGAGAUAGCUGGUUCUCCCCGAAAUAGCUUUAGGGCUAGCCUCGGGGGUUGGCUGGUGGCGGUAAAGCACUGAUUGGGCUAGGGGCCCUACCCGGUUACCGAACCCAUUCAAACUCAGAAUGCUGCCAGCUGGACCCCGGGAGUCAGACUACGGGGGAUAAGCUCCGUGGUCAAAAGGGAAACAGCCCAGACCGCCAGCUAAGGUCCCCAAGCGCGGGCUAAGUGGGAAAGGAUGUAGAACCGCUCAGACAACCAGGAUGUUGGCUUAGAAGCAGCCAUUCAUUUAAAGAGUGCGUAAUAGCUCACUGGUCGAGUGGUUCUGCGCCGAAAAUGUAACGGGGCUCAAGCCCGUCACCGAAGCUGCGGAUCUGGUUCGCCAGAUGGUAGGGGAGCGUUCCCUGGGCGGAGAAGCCGUACCGAAAGGAGCGGUGGAGCGCAGGGAAGUGAGAAUGCCGGUAUAAGUAGCGAAAAGAGGGGUGAGAAUCCCCUCCGCCGAAAGCCCAAGGGUUCCUGAGGAAGGUUCGUCCUCUCAGGGUUAGUCGGGACCUAAGCCGAGGCGAAAAGGCGUAGGCGAUGGACAACCGGUGGAUAUUCCGGUACCACCUAUGGGCCGCUUGAGCGAAGCGGGGACGCAGAAGGGCUAGCCAGCCGGCGGAUGGAUGCCGGUCCAAGCGGGUAGGGUGUGCGGUAGGCAAAUCCGCCGCACAAAAACCCGAGACGUGAUGGGGAGCGAAGUUUAGUAGCGGAACUGGCGAAUCCCAGGCUGCCAAGAAAAGCCGCUAGCGAGGCCCAGGGUGCCCGUACCGUAAACCGACACAGGUGGGCGGGGAGAGAAUCCUAAGGCGCGCGAGAUCACCCUCGUUAAGGAACUCGGCAAUCUGACCCCGUAACUUCGGGAGAAGGGGUGCUCGAGUAGGUUGAGGCCUUGCAACGGGCCGAGGCCGAAAGAGUCGCAGAAAACAGGCCCAGGCGACUGUUUAGCAAAAACACAGGUCUCUGCUAAGUCGGAAGACGAAGUAUAGGGGCUGACGCCUGCCCGGUGCUGGAAGGUUAAGGGGAAGGGUCAGCGCAAGCGAAGCUCUGAACCGAAGCCCCAGUGAACGGCGGCCGUAACUAUAACGGUCCUAAGGUAGCGAAAUUCCUUGUCGGGCAAGUUCCGACCUGCACGAAUGGCGUAACGAUCUGGGCGCUGUCUCAACGAGGGACUCGGCGAAAUUGCAGUACCUGUGAAGAUGCAGGUUACCCGCGACUAGACGGAAAGACCCCAUGGAGCUUUACUCUAGCCUGGUAUUGAAUUUUGGUGCAGGAUGUACAGGAUAGGUGGGAGGCUGGGAAACCGGGGCGUCAGCUUCGGUGGAGCCGACGGUGGGAUACCACUCUUUCUGUACUGAAGUUCUAACCUUUGACCGUGAUCCGGUCAGGGGACCGUACCAGGUGGGGAGUUUGACUGGGGCGGUCGCCUCCUAAAGCGUAACGGAGGCGCCCAAAGGUUCCCUCAGCGCGGUCGGAAAUCGCGCGGCGAGUGCAAAGGCACAAGGGAGCUUGACUGCGAGACAGACAGGUCGAGCAGGGACGAAAGUCGGGCUUAGUGAUCAGGUGGUUCUGGGUGGAAGGGCCAUCGCUCAACGGAUAAAAGCUACCCUGGGGAUAACAGGCUGAUCUCCCCCAAGAGUCCACAUCGACGGGGAGGUUUGGCACCUCGAUGUCGGCUCAUCGCAUCCUGGGGCUGUAGUAGGUCCCAAGGGUUGGGCUGUUCGCCCAUUAAAGCGGUACGUGAGCUGGGUUCAGAACGUCGUGAGACAGUUCGGUCCCUAUCUGUCGCGGGCGCAGGAGAUUUGCGGGGAGCUGUCCCUAGUACGAGAGGACCGGGAUGGACGCACCGCUGGUGUACCAGUUGUCUCGCCAGGGGCACGGCUGGAUAGCCAAGUGCGGACGGGAUAAGCGCUGAAGGCAUCUAAGCGCGAAACCCACCCCAAGACGGGAUCUCCCACAGGGUCAACCUGGUAAGACCCCUUGUAGAUGACGAGGUCGAUAGGCCGGAGGUGGAAGGGCUGCGAGGCCUGGAGCUAACCGGUACUAAUCGGUCGAGGGCUUGACCUG